UGCAUUACAAAUUUACAUCCUUCAUGUGCUUCUGCGUGGUUGGUGUCUAACCCAUCAGUUCCCUCUUUUAGGAUCUUUAUGAAAUCUCAGAUGGAGUCGGAGUGUCAAGCCUUGGCACCCCUGGGGUUUCAAACGGGGUUCAUGCAUCAGAAGAUACGAACAACGAAAUUCCCGGUUCUAAUCUGUUUGGGAGAACGUUUUCUGGCAUCAGUGCCUCUUUCCUUGCAAGAAACCGCAGUGUGAAGCAGUCUUUUAAGUAGCCCGGCCAGUCAGCAACAUACUUAAGAUGUACUUUUUAUUUAAGGUUAGCUGCAGCUAGCUGAGCUUACCCCUCAGACACAGGCAGUGCCUGGUCAUAUUUGUGGUUGCUGAAUUUUGUAGAGACGUUUAUGUUAUAAAAUUGCUCUAGGAUAUAUGUAUUAGUUUGCGAGAAGUAAUUUCUCAUAAAAUAGUACAGAAACAGAAAAAUUCUCAAUAAACUGCCCCCCCUCCCCCUCCGCCCCCCCUCUUUUUUCUCUCUCGUGCAUAUAGUGAAUUACAAGCUACUUCGUUGGUUAAAGGUUGCACCUAGCGAUGUUAGUUACUGUUUAUUAAAAAAGGUAGCCGGUUGAGGUGUCGCAACAUUGAAGACUGGAUGAGAUAAUACUGGUUCUUGUUAUUGAUAGUCUUACUGGGUACAAUUUUGCGCACCAUGAAAAAGGGCUUCAAGUGUCUAAGAACCAUCCAUUUGUGCUUUGGAGUGAUGCAGAUUAUCACUUAAUUAUCUGUUUACUUGCAUGCCUGCCAGUUUAGGUCAAGGUCAAUGAAGUAACGAGACCCUUUUAUGUACGAACGGAC
This 837-nucleotide long non-coding RNA is filed under the name Olea europaea (common olive). RNAcentral describes it as "long non-coding RNA (OEUR_LNC000463)". Lineage: Eukaryota; Viridiplantae; Streptophyta; Magnoliopsida; Lamiales; Oleaceae. The record is from RNAcentral.